CCUACGGGUGGCAGCAGUGAGGAAUAUUGGUCAAUGGGCGAGAGCCUGAACCAGCCAAGUCGCGUGAGGGAAGACGGUCCUAUGGAUUGUAAACCUCUUUUGUCGGGGAGCAAAAGAUGCCACGCGUGGCGUUCCGAGAGUACCCGAUGAAAAAGCAUCGGCUAACUCCGUGCCAGCAGCCGCGGUAAUACGGAGGAUGCGAGCGUUAUCCGGAUUUAUUGGGUUUAAAGGGUUCGUGGGCGGAAGAUCAAGUCAGCGGUAAAAUUGAGGGGCUCAAUCUCUUCGAGCCGUUGAAACUGGUAUUCUUGAGUGAGCGAGAAGUAUGCGGAAUGCGUGGUGUAGCGGUGAAAUGCAUAGAUAUCACGCAGAACUCCGAUUGCGAAGGCAGCAUACCGGCGCUCAACUGACGCUGAUGCACGAAAGUGUGGGUAUCGAACAGGAUUAGAUACCCGGGUAGUC
This 459-nucleotide ribosomal RNA is filed under the name uncultured bacterium. RNAcentral's name for it is "partial 16S ribosomal RNA". It matches the Rfam family "Bacterial small subunit ribosomal RNA", at positions 338 to 795 of the family's 1533-position model. The record is from RNAcentral.